UAACAAGGAUUCCCCUAGUAACUGCGAGUGAAGCGGGAAAAGCUCAAAUUUAAAAUCUGGCAGUCUUUGGCUGUCCGAAUUGUAGUCUGGAGAAGUGCUUUCCGCGCUGGACCGUGUAAAAGUCUCUUGGAAUAGAGCGUCAUAGAGGGUGAGAAUCCCGUCUUUGACACGGACAACCAGUGCUUUGUGAUGCGCUCUCAAAGAGUCGAGUUGUUUGGGAAUGCAGCUCAAAAUGGGUGGUAAAUUCCAUCUAAAGCUAAAUAUUGGCGAGAGACCGAUAGCGAACAAGUACCGUGAGGGAAAGAUGAAAAGCACUUUGGAAAGAGAGUUAAACAGUACGUGAAAUUGCUGAAAGGGAAACGCUUGAAGUCAGUCGCGUUGGCCAGAACUCAGCCUGGCUUUUGCUUGGUGCAUUUUCUGGUUGACGGGCCAGCAUCAAUUUUGACUGUUGGAUAAAGGCUUUGGGAAUGUGGCAUCUUCGGAUGUGUUAUAGCCCUUGGUUGCAUACAUCAGUUGGGAUUGAGGAUCGCAGCAUGCCUUUAUGGUCGGGGUUCGCCCACGUUCAUGCUUAGGAUGCUGGCGU
RNAcentral lists this ribosomal RNA (583 nucleotides) under Hypochnicium eichleri. RNAcentral's name for it is "eukaryotic LSU rRNA". It matches the Rfam family "Eukaryotic large subunit ribosomal RNA", at positions 66 to 632 of the family's 3401-position model. Lineage: Eukaryota; Fungi; Basidiomycota; Agaricomycetes; Polyporales. The record is from RNAcentral.